RNAcentral lists this transfer RNA (74 nucleotides) under Verrucomicrobiales bacterium. RNAcentral describes it as "tRNA-Arg". It matches the Rfam family "tRNA". Rfam says of the family: Transfer RNA (tRNA) molecules are approximately 80 nucleotides in length. Their secondary structure includes four short double-helical elements and three loops (D, anti-codon, and T loops). Lineage: Bacteria; Pseudomonadati; Verrucomicrobiota; Verrucomicrobiia; Verrucomicrobiales. The record is from RNAcentral.
GCUCCCGUAGCUCAGCUGGAUAGAGCAGCUGCCUUCUAAGCAGCUGGUCGCAGGUUCGAAUCCUGCCGGGAGCG